GAUGAACGCUGGCGGCGUGCCUAAUACAUGCAAGUCGAGCGAAUGGAUUAAGAGCUUGCUCUUAUGAAGUUAGCGGCGGACGGGUGAGUAACACGUGGGUAACCUGCCCAUAAGACUGGGAUAACUCCGGGAAACCGGGGCUAAUACCGGAUAACAUUUUGAACCGCAUGGUUCGAAAUUGAAAGGCGGCUUCGGCUGUCACUUAUGGAUGGACCCGCGUCGCAUUAGCUAGUUGGUGAGGUGACGGCUCACCAAGGCAACGAUGCGUAGCCGACCUGAGAGUGUGAUCUGCCACCCUGGGACUGAGACACGGCCCAGACUCCUACGGGAGGCAGCAGUAGGGAAGCUUCCGCAAUGGACGAAAGGCUGACGGAGCAACGCCGCGUGAGUGAUGAAGGCUUUCGGGUCGUAAAACUCUGUUGUUAGGGAAGAACAAGUGCUAGUUGAAUAAGCUGGCACCUUGACGGUACCUAACCAGAAAGCCACGGCUAACUACGUGCCAGCCGCCGUAAUAC
Molecule: ribosomal RNA, 515 nt
Filed under: uncultured bacterium
Lineage: Bacteria
Description: partial 16S ribosomal RNA
Rfam family: Bacterial small subunit ribosomal RNA
Source: RNAcentral